RNAcentral lists this long non-coding RNA (225 nucleotides) under Lathyrus oleraceus (garden pea). RNAcentral describes it as "Pisum sativum (pea) long non-coding RNA (PSAT_LNC040315)". The record is from RNAcentral. Lineage: Eukaryota; Viridiplantae; Streptophyta; Magnoliopsida; Fabales; Fabaceae.
AUAUUUCUACCUCUAAUGAAACAUCUUCAAUAUUCUGGAUUAAUUUAAGGAUCCAAGAUUUCCAAUCUGUCUGCAAUGAUCUUAGUGAUGAUUUUGAAUUGAAAUUUUGUAAGUGCAAGAGGUUUAUAUUGCUCAAUAAAACCUAUUCCAUGUUGUUUAGGUAUCAAAGUCACAUUUGUUGUUCUUAGUGGAUUGAUCCUUUGGAUUGACUGCAUUUAUCAAAAC